AUGGAAAGAUUGGGUUUAUCUGGAGAACUGCAAACGCACGCCUCCCUACUGGCACCACAGGAGGAGCAGGAGAGUCCAAGGAGCUGCUCGGCCGUGGCCCUCCACGCCAAGGCACAAACCCGGCUGCCAGGGCCACACACAGACCCCGGGAUCCAAAUCCAAAGCCCCAAACGAGGAAGGAUUCCGAAGGACGUGAUAACAACCAAAAUACAUCAGUUCUCUCAAAACGAAAAGUGCAUCCCUAAUGAGCUUGUCACACUCCACAUCCCAGGACCCCAGCUGUUUUCAGGUUACCAGGCAAAGCCACUUCUUUUGAUUCUAUUAUUAGCGUCUCCAACAAAGUGACAAGAAAAAUAGCUCCAGAAGCAACCUGCGCCAUCGCGUUCACACCAAGUCAAUAAAUAUGCGCGCAUGCGCACACACACACACGCACACGCGCACACGCACACACGCACACGCACCAGCCUCUCCUGAUCUCCCCCUCAGACUCCAGCGCCUUUAGGGCUCGGCGCAGAGGAGCCUGGAUACAGGAUUUCGGCCACCUGAGCAGCAAAGGAGAAGACGCCCCAUCUGCCGGCCACCAGCCUCGAGCACUGACGGCCAGGAUGAAGAAGGGACCCCGCGACUCAUUACGUCGUAGCCCUCAGGCCGGGCACACUCUUCCCCCGGGGACCCCACGCAGCCUCGGCGAGGGCCACGCCGCGCCCAAUCCAGGAGGCCUCCGAGCUGCAGCAGCUGUGGCCUCUAUAAAGGAUCCUCUAGAACCUGUCCGGCAACGCCAGAGCCAGGUCGCCAGAUGCGUUCUACAGCCUCCUUCCUAGAGCUGCAGGCUGGGACGCCCCGCACACAGACAGGCUGGGAACCGCUAAGCUUCACAAAACUGCUACACAGAGGGCUAUGUCCCACCUGCCCGUGUCAGGUGGCCAUCGCCUUGUGGGUUCAGGUGCAGGCGCGACUCCAACACCAGCAGGAAAGCUCCAGGUGGACCUGGCGGCGAGACCCAACCAGAACUGACACAGGAGCGGGGAUGACUGGGAAGAUCCAACUUAUGUAAAACGGAACUCCGGGUCCCAUCAAGGACCAUAAUAAGUACUGCUGUAAGCGAAUAUUACAGUCUGAGGUAUCAGAGGGAGUUCAACUAGGUAACCCAGACAGAAUUAUGGGAUGGUCAAGUCCUUUGACUGUUAAGAAUCUGCAAUAAAAAACAUUGUAACCACUGACCUAGGGAUCUGCAACAUCAGCUGACUUUGGCUUUCCUCUCUCCA
This 1265-nucleotide long non-coding RNA is filed under the name Fukomys damarensis (Damara mole-rat). RNAcentral's name for it is "lncRNA (ENSFDAG00000030772.1)". The record is from RNAcentral. Lineage: Eukaryota; Metazoa; Chordata; Mammalia; Rodentia; Bathyergidae.